UCCGGCUUGUCACCGGCAGUUUUCCUAGAGUUCCCGGCAUAACCCGAUGGCAACUAGGAAUGAGGGUUGCGCUCGUUGCGGGACUUAACCCAACAUCUCACGACACGAGCUGACGACAGCCAUGCAACACCUGUCUCCUCCCCGGCCGAACCGAAGGGCUUCCAUUACAAAGCCCAAAAGAGGGAUGUCAAAGGUUGGUAAGGUUUUUCGCGUAGCAUCGAAUUAAACCACAUGCUCCACCGCUUGUGCGGGUCCCCGUCAAUUCCUUUGAGUUUUAAUCUUGCGACCGUACUCCCCAGGCGGAGUGCUUAACGUGUUAACUGUGUUACUAGGAAAUCCUAACAACUAGCACUCAUCGUUUACGGCGUGGACUAC
Molecule: unclassified non-coding RNA, 375 nt
Filed under: uncultured Rickettsiales bacterium
Lineage: Bacteria; Pseudomonadati; Pseudomonadota; Alphaproteobacteria; Rickettsiales
Description: contains 16S-23S intergenic spacer region
Source: RNAcentral